Molecule: non-coding RNA, 135 nt
Organism: Triticum aestivum (bread wheat)
Lineage: Eukaryota; Viridiplantae; Streptophyta; Magnoliopsida; Poales; Poaceae
Source: Rfam
AACGUACUUCCUCCGUCCGAAAAUACUUGUCAUCAAAAUGGACAAAAAUGGAUGUAUCUACAACUAAAAUACAUCUAGAUACAUCUCCUUUUAUUCAUUUUGAUGACAAGUAUUUCCGGACGGAGGGAGUAUAAG